CCUACGGGUGGCAGCAGUGGGGAAUAUUGCACAAUGGGGGAAACCCUGAUGCAGCAACGCCGCGUGAGCGAUGAAGGCCUUCGGGUCGUAAAGCUCUGUCCUAAGGGAAGAAUACUGACGGUACCUUAGGAGGAAGCCCCGGCUAACUACGUGACAGCAGCAGCGGUAAUACGAAGGGGGCUAGAGUUAUCCGGAAUUACUGGGCGUAAAGGGUGCGUAGGCGGCCCUUCAAGUUAGAGGUGAAAGGCUAGUGCUCAACCGUAGGAAGCCUUUGAAACUGUAGGGCUUGAGUGGGGGAGAGGAGAGUGGAAUUCACCGUGUAGCGGUGAAAUGCGUAGAUAUUGGGAGGAACACCAGUUGCGAAGGCGGCUAUCUGGACUGUAACUGACGCUUAGGCACGAAAGCGUGGGGAGCGAACAGGAUUAGAUACCCUAGUAGUC
RNAcentral lists this ribosomal RNA (440 nucleotides) under uncultured bacterium. Its description in RNAcentral is "bacterial SSU rRNA". It matches the Rfam family "Bacterial small subunit ribosomal RNA", at positions 338 to 795 of the family's 1533-position model. The record is from RNAcentral.